UGGUAGGAUAGAGGCCUACCAUGGUGGUAACGGGUAACGGGGUGUUAGGGCACGACACCGGAGAGGGAGCCUGAGAAACGGCUACCACAUCCAAGGAUGGCAGCAGGCGCGCAAAUUACCCAAUCCCGACACGGGGAGGUAGUGACAAUAAAUAACAAUACGGGGUUCUUUCGGAUCUCGUAAUUGGAAUGAGUACAAUUUAAAUCUCUUAACGAGGAACAAUUGGAGGGCAAGUCUGGUGCCAGCAGCCGCGGUAAUUCCAGCUCCAAUAGCGUAUAUUAAAGUUGUUGCAGUUAAAAAGCUCGUAGUUGAAUUUCGGGGUUAGUAGGUUGGUCAUGCCUCUGGUAUGUACUGGUCUCACUGAUUCCUCCUUCCUUAUGAACCGUAAUGCCAUUAAUUUGGUGUUGCGGGGAAUUUGGACUGUUACUUUGAAAAAAUUAGAGUGUUUAAAGCAAGCUAACGCUUGAAUACAUUAGCAUGGAAUAAUGAAAUAGGACGUUCGAUCUUAUUUUGUUGGUUUCUAGGAUUGACGUAAUGAUUAAUAGGGAUAGUUGGGGGCAUUAGUAUUCAAUUGUCAGAGGUGAAAUUCUUGGAUUUAUUGAAGACUAACUACUGCGAAAGCAUUUGCCAAGGAUGUUUUCAUUAAUCAAGAACGAAAGUUAGGGGAUCGAAGACGAUCAGAUACCGUCGUAGUCUUAACCAUAAACUAUGCCGACUAGGGAUCGGAUGA
Molecule: ribosomal RNA, 730 nt
Filed under: uncultured fungus
Lineage: Eukaryota; Fungi
Description: SSU rRNA
Rfam family: Eukaryotic small subunit ribosomal RNA
Source: RNAcentral